This 15126-nucleotide long non-coding RNA is filed under the name Lactuca sativa (garden lettuce). Its description in RNAcentral is "long non-coding RNA (LSAT_LNC007922)". The record is from RNAcentral. Lineage: Eukaryota; Viridiplantae; Streptophyta; Magnoliopsida; Asterales; Asteraceae.
CAAUUCUCAUCCGUCUCUGUUUAUCUCUUCACCCUCACGACGUUAGGUGUUCUUCCCUGACUCCGACAACAUCACACACAAGCAGCGCACCACCACCUGUCUCCACCAAAGAUGCAAUCGAUGCCCUGGAAGUCCACCUUUUAUGUCACACACAAGUAGCCCUAACCCUAUCUCGUCGCCACGAUCAACCACGAUCAACGAUUUGGGGGAACAACAAGUAAAUUUCAUUCGGGUUUGGAGCUUUUAGUUCUUAUUCUCGAAGAUCUCUCCGGUCGGCCGUUAGUUCAUCAUCUGCAACCAAAUUUCCAGCAAUGGAAGGGGCCACGAUGGGCCCAUCUGAAGCUUCGGUGACGAUGUACAACCUCAAAGAUGCAUACAAUUUCUAGGAUGUAUUAAACACUUCCCCUAUUUGGAAGGAUCGAAUUUUUCAUGCUCUUGCUGCUCUCUAUGGCAUCGUUUCCAUCGCUAUGUUGUUGAGUUUCCAUUUACUUCGUUGAUACAAUACGUUUUUGUACUGUACUGUCUCCAAUCUUAUGUUUCUAGGGUUUCUAUUUGAACCUAACGAGCUUUUAGGGAUAUAACAUGUGAGGUAUUUCCAGUGUGUGCAUGUAGACUAUAGCUUGGAUUAGAUGCAUCCCAUAUUCGUACAAAUUGAUCAAGGGAAGUGGUUCUAAACUGGGUGGAAUUUGGUCUGAAACGAAUAUCAGUAAUUAAGAACUGAUGUUCUUCAGGGGUGGUCUCUGUUUGUAGGUGUAGGGUAUCCAUUUUCCAUAGAACUGCCUUUUUUCAUGGCCAACACUAGCUAGCAACUUCCCAUAUGAAGAAAAAUGACAACACAAGACCUUUUUUCUUGUCCGUAUACAACUAACUUCCCCAAAGGAAAAACCCUUAGAAGAAUAAGACCUUUGUCUUGUGUUGUGUCAUUGCACCAUAAACUUGUCUUUCAUCUCCUCCUUCGUGUUGCAAAAAGGAUUCCACAUUAUUAUCCAUGGAAACAUCCCCAAAAUGUUCAAUGUCAUCAAGCUGAUUUGUUGAGGAGGCAACGACAGUUGUUCCCUGAUCAGAAGAAGCAUACAUGACGAUGGUUUUGGGUAGAUGGUGGAGACUGGUAGUAGUUGUUGUUAUUCCAUCAUUAGUUCCUGCCCAUGGUGUGUGAGUUGAUGUUGGGGAGCUUGGUGAAGGGCCUGUUGUAUUCCCUGUGUUACUGUUGUUGGCUGCCCCAGAAGAAGAAUGUUGAAACAGUCUCAAAUUACGAUGAAGUAAAGGAUGUUAUUACAGAAAAGGUGAUGUUAAAUGUUAAUAAUCAGUUAAUAGUCUUGUAUUUUAUUGGUCAAUUAAAGUCUCUAUGAAACAUUUAUAUGUGCAGCGUGGAUCGUUAAGAGAUGAACCUACACAUGAAGAAUAUCCUCUUAUUUAUCAUUUUGAUGUUGCUGCUAUGUAUCCCAAUAUUAUAUUAACAAACAGACUUCAAGUAUACACAUCAAUCAAAUUUUUAGAAAUUUAAAUAAAGGACAGUUUGCUAGCCUAUUACUCACAAUUUACCAUUUAAAAAAGCUGAUAUUUUACCUAACAAAUACUGAUAUGUCAUCUUAGCCACCAUCAAUAGUUACAGAUGAGGUGUGCAUUGCAUGUGAUUUCAAUCACCCUGGGAAAACUUGUCUUAGGAAACUUGAAUGGAAGUGGCAUGGAGAGACAUAAACAACAAAUAGAAGGUACAUUAUUUACGGAUUUACCCCUCUAUUAUAGCUUAAUUUACUAGCAUCUAUUUAUUGAUUUUAAAUUUGGGUAUUAGUGAUUACUAUAAUUUGAAGAGGCAAAUUCAAUCCAUAGUUGUUGCCGUUGAUGGAUUCAAAUCAAAGUCUCUCCUUGAUCAGCCUAAAGUGGAUCAACAACUGAAGCUGAAAGAACGUUUACAGAAAUAUUGCCAAAAGGUUUAUAAUUUUUUAUGUUACAAACUUUAAAUUUUAUGUGACACGACAUGUCAGCAUUAUUUACAUAGCAUUUUGUGAUACGUGUUACAGGCGUAUAAACGAGUGCUUGAGAAGCAACUCCUGAAACUAGAGAAGCAAGAGUUACAAGUAACAUGCACUUGUUUGAUGCAGAUGGCAUGAAAAAGAAGUAUGACACCCCUGAACAAAGUAAGAAUAUCACAAAAUGCAAUAAAAAUUGAUGUUUAUCUGGUUUAUUGACUUUUUUACCCUCUGUUAAGGUUCAUGGUUAAGUAAAUAUACAAGAAAUGAUUGUUUUAGACUUUUUGGUAAAUUUGAGAAUUUCGGUUAUUCUUUUUUUUCAUUUAGAUGAGUUAAAAAUGAAAAAAAAAACUUUAUAACGAUAUGAAAGUCUUAUAACACAAUAUAUAAUUAUUUUUGGAAAAAAAACGACAGUGUUGACUUUCUUUGGUCAAUUUGCCAAUUUUUAUGAUAAUAACAAUAAUAUGAUUAAGUUUCAUAUGAUUUGAAAUAUUUUUGGUAGGAAUUUUGACAAUUAUUAUAUUCAUUUUAAAUUUUUUUGAGUAUAUUUGUUAUGUUUGUAUGAUUUUAAAUAUUUUUUGUAUGAAUUUUGACAGCUAUUAUAUUCAUUUUUAAAUUUUCAUGUAUAUUUGUCAAUGUUAGUAUUCAUGGUAAGAUUUUAAUUUGAUUAAUUUUGGAAUGAUUAUCAAUAUCCAAAAAUACAUCAUUUUCUAUAUUAUAAUAGACUAUUCCACCUAUAAAUUUAAUAUAUGUUCUUCAUUUCUAACUCUCACAACACAAUUCGACAGUUUGGGUUUUGGGACGAUUGGAUCAUUGAUUUGGAAUCGGGUUGACUGCUUCAUUGCAUUGUAUUUCGUGACACGAAUUCAGGUUCUCUUACUUCUUCUAUCUGUUAUAACUUCAAGUGUGUCUAUAACAUUUUAUUUCUUACUUCUUCUGUUUGAAGUGAUAGACUUCUUUUGUUUCAAAUGAUAAUCUUCUUUUGUCUUCUGUCUAAAGUGAUAAACUUAUUCUGUUUGAAAUGAUAAAAUUAUUUCGUCUCAAAUAAUACAUGUAUACAAUAUGUAUAUAUGUGUGUAUGUAUUUGUCUGUGACAUUGUAUACAUGUGUGGUUUGUAUAUGUAUAUGUUAGGACAUUCCGUGCUUCUGUUUUUGAGUUUGAGUGAAUGUGUCUUUCUGCUUUUAUGAUUGUAAUAGUAGAGACUUCAACAUUUUUUUAUGUAUGUUCAUUUUCAUUUUUGGCAAUUAAUUUCAGUAUAUACUUCAAGAGAAUAUACCUUUUAUUCAUUUUUACUAUAUAACCUUUUUUAUAUAUGUAAAAUUAAAAAAAAAAUCAAAAUAAUAGACUAAGGUGUUAUGGUUUUAAAACCGCACGUAAAUAAAUAGGAAAAAAUCGACGGUUUAACUUAAAACAGGUCUAGUCCAACCAGAAAAAAUCAACGGUUUUNNNNNNNNNNNNNNNNNNNNNNNNNNNNNNNNNNNNNNNNNNNNNNNNNNNNNNNNNNAAAAAUAAAAGGGACCCAAGUUUUAAUAGGAGAAGCCCACUUUUCGUUUAGAGGAUUGCUUAGACUCCACUCCCUUAUAUAAUAAAGAUAAAAUUGCAAAAAUGGUCCAUGUGGUAUGUAAAUUUUUGGGGUUUUAGUUCAAACCACGACUUUUUUGGAUUGGUGGUCCUGUUGAGCUAGUUUCUUUCCGUUUUUGGUCCCUCGGUAAACUGAAAAGACUAUUAUGCCCUUAUGAUAUAUUUUUUUAUGCCUUUUCUACUUAAUUUAAAUGAAAAAUAAAAUAAUUAUCUAAUUUGGGCCUCUUUCUCUCUCUCUCAUCAAAUACAAAUAUCGAAAAGGAGAUCUAAUCACCAUCAACGCCUGAGCUGAGAUCUGUAGAAACUUCAAGUGAUCCUCAAGUUACAUUUAAACUCUACCUAGUGGAAGUUACUCCAUAUAAAGAACCAACAUACAAUCUCUUCCAAAAUGAACAACUUCCCAUUGUUUCCGAGGGAAAAUCAGAAGGAAUGACGAAUUCCAAAGAGGAGUAGAUUGUCCAGUUCUCAAGACUCUUCAAGAGCCAUGUGGGAUUUGAUACAAAUCUCUAUUUAGAUCUUCAUGAACUCGGAAUGGAGAUUUAUUCAGAAGCAAUGGAAGAUACAAUCACAACAAAAAGCUCCUAGAACCUUUUCGACAUAGCUGGAUCAAAAUUCCAAGAAAUGUCCGCUUUAGCUUUGUUCAACCUAGGUAACGUCCACAUGAACAAAGCAAGAAAAUCGAUUGUCAUUAUAGAAGAUGAUAACACUAUCAAAGAAUCAGUAUCAGAACAAGUGAAAAUCGGAUUCGAAUUCUCCCAAAAAGAAUACGAAAAAACAGAGGAAAGAUAUGAACAGUCAGCACGUCAGACCUGAUUUCUACGAAGGACACCUGAGAGAUAUCUUCUGUUUGAAUCUUGCAUAAUCUCGGAAUCAAAUCGAACGAACUAGUAGAGCAUAGAAAAUCUUUAACAACCGAUUAAUUUUGAUGAAUGUGCAUAUUUUGCUCUUUUCUCUGAUUAUGACCUAAUAAGCUUAGAAAAGGCAAGUAAACAGGAGAAUUGGAUGCUUGUAAUUGAUGACUAGAUGAAAGCCAUACUGAAACCUGUGUGAUAAAAAUCAAUUCUAAAAAACACAACCUCUUUGUUUCACUUUUGAUUUGGGAAUAACAUAAAGAUAUCCGACUUCUUUGUACAUACUUUAUAUAGGCAAUCGACCUUCUUUAUGGAGCUGAGGGAUGAUUCUGGAAUGCGGGCUGGUGGGUUUUAUGAGAGAUAAUCAUGAACGAGGUGGUGACGUACUGGGCCGCCUCACAGUAUGCCCAUCGUAACCCCGAUGAUUAGCUACUAUAAAUAGAACUCAAGGUUGCCCGAUUUUUGUUUACUUUCUUCACAUCUCUCACCCUUAUACUCUCUCCUAAGUUGCAAGAAAUACCCCCGAAGCCUAGUGUAUCAUCCUAGCACCCGAAGCAAGUUCCAGAGCCCCAAAGAUCCCGAGAAAAAGAGUUUUCGAGCCAAAACUCUGUCCAUGUGAAGCUCGGUUUUUUGAGAAAUCACCACGAUUUCAUCUGAAAAGAUUAUUUUAAGAGACGAGGUGCUGCCCGAUUAUCAUCUUAACAAGUGAGUGUAUAGUCAAUUUCAUCUUACACAUAGAUAUGAAGUAUUUUCUAUAAAAUACGUGCUAUGUGUAAUUAUAUUGUUUGUUUAUUUGAGAUGGGUGUUGAAUAAAUGUUUUAUACAAGUUUUAAAUUGUAUAUGUAUUUUUAUCUACAAAUAUGUUGGGUAAAACAUGGAUAGAUGAUAUAGUUGAUGUGUGUUAAAAUGAUGAGAGGCCUCGAUUUUGUUGUUGUUGAUGAUGUUGUAGUCAUCUAGCGGAGUAUAGAUGACUACCACGGACCUUUAUAGACAGUCCAGUGGAACGCUAGCAGGUUCGCAACCUGUAGGUGUUGGUGAACUAUAUGUUUGUUGGUGUACUCCAUCCCCCUCAUGGUUGCCUUAUUUAACAUAAAUUGUUGAGGAAUCCCUAAAGCAGUGUUUUCACCCUGAUGAAAAUCCUUAGACUAGGUCCCUUAUGAUAGGUGUUUAGGACGUAAAGUGAGGAUAACGGGAAUGGGUAAUCAGUGUUAUUGUUGGUUGAUCAAAUUAAUAAAUUUAUUUUUGGUUGAUAAAUCUAAUAAAUUUAUUAUUAUUUGUGGGUUGAAAACCCUAUAUGCUCGCCAGGCUCCCAAGCCUGACCCACUCAGCUUUUUAUAUUACAGGUAGUGGACCUCGAGCAUAGUCGGAUGAAGAUACGAGAUUUUUGGAUUAUCGGCCAGUAGUUGUAAAUAACUGUUUUAAGGCUUAUAAUGUACUGAUUAUGCUUUUGAUCUGUAUCGGAACAUGACAUCCCGAGGUUUUGAUAUAUAAUGAAAAUAAAUAUUUCUUUAAGAAAUGUUUUGAUAAAUUUUUAUCAUUUUUUGUUUUAGGGACAAAUUCCGCAACAUCUUUUAAAAAGAUUACUCUUAUUUUAUUUUAAAAAUAUAAAUUAAAUCGGUAUUUUCUAAGAACCCGAGAACUAAAAGUGGACCAUUAGAUCAAAAAAAAAGGGGCUAAGAUGCAAGGUGGUGUUUUUGUAAAUAAGUAGAAAACUAAAGAGGUGGGGGUAUCUUAAUUAAACUCGACAAAGGCAAUAUUGGAAACAAAAAAUUAUAAUUCAAUUGUAUCCUAAUCGAUUAUAAUUUUGCAAAAUGAUCUCUUUCACACAACCCUAACCCUCGUUCUCCUCCAGACGGCUUUCUUCUUCGAUGCUUCCUUCAACAACUUUCUUCUCUCCGCCGAAAUUUGUGCCUUCUCUCCCUUCUGAUUGGUAGAAAGCAAAGACUGCUGCAGCACCUUCGCCGCAUCAUCGUCACUGGCCAGAUCGAUUGUUACACAAUCUACAGGAUACAGUGUAGUCUUCUAAUGGUGUAUCAUCAUAACCAUAUCUCGCAAUAUGUUGCCCUACAACAACAUUUCUCCGAAACCGACAACAAUUCUGUCCUCCAAACGUGUCACACCCCCGAACUAGACGUCGGAAACGUCUGGGGGAUUAUACAUGACUUCAUCCUUGUAGUAUCAUCACAUAGUAUAUAAUUGAAUCAUAACAUAAUCAUCAUCACACAUGUAAUAUAACAACAUACAUUGUUUACAUCGAGUAUUGUGUUUGAAUAUUACAUGCCAAAAUAGUUAAAGUAUGAUGAAACAAUAUAUAACAAAAUAUCCAUUAGUUUGUUCCGCUCAAUCUGCUUCAACGGUUUCCUGAGAAUACAAGCUAAUUUAAAAAGGUCAACAUAAAAAUGUUUGUGUCCGAUCUAGUAUUAAUGCAUGUGUGUUAUUGUUUAAUAGUGUGAAUGAAGAGAAUGUAAAGAGAAUGCCCUAGACAACCCUAUGUUGCCUGUAAAAGAGAAUGUUGGUAUGUCAACCCCCGAGGUCGAGUACUGGCGCGAGUAUGUCCCCGAGUAAUCCAAAGAGAAAAGAGGAUUGUCUCCCGUAAAUUUCAUAAUGUUAAUUCCUCUAAGUGAGUCGUUAUAAUCAUACUAGAUAAUGACAAUUUCGUCUGUCUUGCCGUUUAUGGACACCAACGGAAAAUAGAAUAAGGUUUUCGUCGCCCUAGACUGGUUUAGUCUAACUAUAGCGAACAGCUCAGGUGUGGGGUGUCAUCCCCGUAUAGAUCUAUAGGCAAAUUCCCGCUCUCCCUCCAAGAGACUUUGGUUAUAACUACAGGCUACAAUCGUACACUCAAUAUGUGUCAACCGACACGUCUCAAUAGAUCCUUAAUCGAAUUUACGCGAAGAGAAACAUAUAAAACACAUUCUAGACCCAAUUAACCAUGUAAGUGAACAACUAAGGCUCAUUAAACAUGUAAGUCAUUUCCAGGCCCAAAAUAUAUGUAAAAGGACAACUAAGGCCCAUUUCACAUGUAAGGUAUCUACAGGCGCAAAUAGCACACAAAGAGUAUCCAAGGUCCGUCGAGCAUGUUAAUGGGUCAAUGCGGCCUAAUAAACAUAUAAAGAGUAUUCAGGACCUAUCAAGCAUAUAAAUGGGUUACCAAGGCCCAAUAAUCAUGAAAAUGCCAUAAUUAGCCCGUUUGUUAUUAUAUUGCUAGUUUUAGCUCAUUUAUUUACCAAAAUGACAUAAAAGGCCCACCUUUUGUAAAAAUGACAUUCUUGGCCUAUUAAGACAAAAAUUUACAUUUAAAGUCAACUUUUUUGUAAAAAUAACAUUUUAGGCCCCUUUUUGGACAAAACUCGUAUUUAAGGCUAGUUUUUGUAAAAAUAAUAUUUUAACUCACUUUUGUCAUAAAUAUCAUUUUUGAGUUUAUUUUUAUAAAAAGUAUAUAUUUUCGACCCAUUAUAGAUAAUUUCAUAUUUUUUGCCCAAAUUUUUAUAAUUUCACAACAUUAACCCUUCUUAUAAAAAAGUUACAUUUUUGGCACAACUUUCUUGAAAAUUACAUUUAAGCCCACAAAAGAUCAAAAAUUACAAUUUUUAGGCCCAAAACCAUGAGAAGCCCAAAUAACAUUUAUGAAAAUGUUUACAUUUUUAUUCCUUGUAAGGUCUCAAAUGUCGAGAUUAUCCAUGUUUAGCAAAAUGACCCAUACUUUUGCAUUUUGUCCAUUUUAGCCCCUUUUAUGAAGUUUUUCUUAGCUUUAAGUAACUUAAAUGUAUUUUAAACCUUUUUCUUGUAAGAUGAGUUGAAAUGAGUGUUAUGUUAUACCAAUAUCAUCAUCUUUUAGUAGAUCUUUAAGUUCACGAGGUUUACAACACAUUAAUACGUAUACAUCUACACAAAACAACUUGUAUUCUCCCCUAAAACAAAGCAAAAAUCGAAAAUAGGGGUAUGAACUCACAUUGCUUUGAAGGUUUUGGUUUUUGGUAAAGAAUGGAUGAUAUCUCGGCCCCAGCAAGCUUCUUGAGGAGAUUUUUUAGAUCUAUGAAGUUCUAAGAGCAUGGAUCAUGAAAUGAAGUAUUAAGGAGUGAAGGAUUUAUCAUAAAAUGAAGCUAAUCAUCUUGUUUAGAGAGCAGCUUACUAAAAAGUGAUGAUCUUUGAUGAAGUGUUCUUGAACACCACACAAAUACACACGAACUUGGAGAGGGAAAUGAGAUUUUCUUGAGAGCUCUAGAGAUAACUCUUGGGUGAGUUUGAGAGUAAAAGUGAUGGUGGUGGGGUGGUGGUUUCGGCCGAGACUAGAAGAAGGGAGGGGGAAAGAGAAGAUUAGGUAAUACUUAAUGGUUAAUUGUUAUCUUGCCUAAAUAUUUGUGGGGUAAUAUGCAUGUUUACAUGCAAAACAAUAUGGAGGUGUCACAAAUUUAGCCAUCUCCACAUUUUUUUAUAAUUGGGCUGAGAAUAAGGGAGAAGAAAAGAAAAGGGAAAUAGUUUGGGCCUUACUUGCUUGAUUUCGAUAUUAUGAGGUCUAAGUUGAUGGUUUUCGGCCCAUUGGGCCCUUAUGAGGGUUCAUGGCCUAAUAGUGAUAAGGAAAAAGGGUUUACGGCCCAAUAAAGCCCAAGAAGAUAGUUUAUGGCCCAUUAGGGCUUAUGAAACCAUUUACGACCCAUCAUGGCCCAUGAGAAAUGGAAUGAGUCAUCCUAAGCCCACAUGACCCAAAAUACUUUAGUUUCAUGAAUGUGGGUCUAAUUAGAGCCCAAAUAGGGAUCCUUGGCGCAAAAUACCCAACUUGAAAGUUUAUUGGCCCCUCAGGACCAAUAUGAGGAUCCUUGUGCAUAAUAAACUUGAACCGAGAUUUUUAGGGUUUUUCAACCCAUAGUUGAAUAUGCAAGAUGUAUUGUAUUAGAUUUUGAACUUUACUUAGGAGUUUUGAUUCAAAUAGAUGAUUUCAUUUUAGCAUAUAGUAUGAUUUUCAAUUAGAGUACGAGUCUUACAAUAGUUGAUGUUUACAUGAAAAUAGAAUUUCCAAGCUAAAAAUGCUAGGUGUGUCAGAACGAUUCUUCCCGAACAUCACCACCUCACAUCCACCGCACAAUCUUCCUCUUCUUCUCGUUCCACCGGAAAAGAUCACUAGCUCAAUAACGCAAUUCUCCGGCAACAAGGCAGGUUCAGUGGCGGAACUGGCGAUGGUAACAGUAAUAUCUUGGUCAACCUACAAAUGAACCACAAUAAUUCAGAUUCUGUAGCCACGAUGUCGUCUCAACAUCACCACCAUCAACAGGCUGCUAACAAUAACAACAAUCAGUGGCUAUCGAGAUCGAUAUUGUAGAGGAACGUUAGUGAUUUUUUCAGACAUUAACCAUGAAACCUCAAAGCCCUUAUAGUUUGAUUAGUUCGUUUUGAUAUUCUACUUUGGUUGUCAAAAGGAAUUAUUCUCAAAAUUUCAAUUUUCUAUCCUCAUUUUGAUGGAAUUUAGGUUGAUUGGGUUCAUCUUAUGAUUAUGGAGAAGAAUAAUCUAUAAAUUUCUCAUAAUAGGCCAGGUGCUUCAUCAGGGAUUCUAUUGGGAGCUGUUACUCUUCCAGGUGUUGCAAUUUCAAGGCUGAUACAGUUAUCAAGAGCAUUAUUUAUGCAUGAAGUAGGAUUUGAAGGUGCAUAGUUUCUAAAUCAAAUCCUCUCUUUUACUUGUUAGAAUCAACAUUCACACAAGCACACACACGCAAAUUCACAGAAUCCAAUUAUAGGGAGCAAAAACAAAAAUCAAUCAUUAUUGUGAUCUUAUAAGCUAUAACCUUUUGCAUUUUUUCAUCUCUGCUUUACCAGAGGCUGAAUUCAUAAGAUUACAAUAUUAGGACACUUCUACUACUUGACUCUGUGUGCUUGUUUUCCUUUGCUUUAUGUGUCACCAUGAAUAUGAGAACACUAAUUUAGCAUCUCUUCAUAACAAUUGCCAUAUGAAGUUCAACAUUAGUUCCAUAUCCCUGUUUACAACAGUGUGCUAUCUAUCUUUUGCUGCAAAAUCACCUUCCAGUGAAUUCAUUGACUAAUUUACCCCUCAGAACUCCAUUUUUUCAAAACUUAAACUUCAAUUUUUGCAUCUUAUAGAAUGGAACAUGGCAUUGACUUUUUUAUGGAUUGUAUAUCAUGGGGUAUCAACUAUGAAAUUCAUUCAACAUGUUCUCGACACAUUUCCAGCAUUUGCUUCAUUUGGUAUCUUCUUCUUCUUCUUCUUCUUCUUCUUCUUCUUCUUCUUCACUUUCUUUUUUCAUCAUUUUACAAUUUCAGUAACAAAAGCAAGUGUUUCUAUUUUAGGCGAAGCACUUUUGGUUAUAGCUGGAUUUGUUGUUUAUUUUGGAGAUAUGUUUGCAUGUACAAUAGCAAGGUUGAGUUCUAUUGCAUAUGGGAUGGAAAUAAGCGAGAUAAACACUAUUAUAUAGGUAUGCUUGUUAAAAACAUUUAUUGAAUUAUAUACUUUUCAAAAUCACUAAUAAAUCAUACUUUACAUUUUCUUCUUAAAUUCAGGGAAUGCUUCUUGGCCUUCUUAUCAUUCCAAUGUUAUUCAAAUCCAACUUUAAAAAAUGGGAAAUUUACAUAUGAAUCAUAUGUAAUUCACAAGUGAAUCACAUAUGUGACAUCCCCAUUUUCACGACCAGAAAAGACCGAUUUGUUUAUGCUUCAUUUUUAAAAUCAGAGUAUACUUUUAAAGAAAAGUGUUGCGGAAUUUUAUUCCCAGAAAAACAUGAUAAAUAUAUUAUCAAAGUAAUUCCAAAAAAAUGUAUUUUAUUCAGUUUAAAACUUUGGGAUGUCAACAUCAAUACAGAAACAUAAGCGUAAACAAAUUUUACAUUCAUUUACACUAGCGAUCUACAUCUCUUUAAUCUCAGUGUAGUGUAGCUUUAUAUCGAUACAUGUGAUACAAAUAAACUAGGUGGAUCAGGUUGGGAAACCUGGUGAGUACAUAGGGUUUUCAACCCACAAUAAUAUAGUUAUUAUGUUUAAACACCAAACAUUCAACCCAAUUACCCAUCCCCAUUAUCUUCUUUACUCUUAAGGAUCUACCCUAAGAAUGAUCUAUCAUUCUCUUUUUCAUUCCUAAGGAUUCACCUAAAGAAUAGGAACGAAGUCCAUCUUUGCCUAUGGCGUAGCUGCCAAUUUUAUCUAUUAGGUGCAACUUCCAAUAUUAUCAUUUAGGUGCAGCUCCCAGGAUUAUGACGUUCUCUAUUAGGCGUAGCUGCCAAUAUUAUACUUUUACGUAGCUGCUAUGAUGUUUAGAGUACAUCGUAGUUCGAAAAUAUCUACAGGUUGUGGUGCAGCUACCAAUAUUCAUCUAUAUGAUCUUUCAUACCUCAUCAUUUAUCUACCUUAGUUCUACCCAACAUAUUUGUAGAUAUAAAAUACAUCUAUAGUCUUAGAUCUGAAGAAAAGGUUCUGAUCUAAAAACAAAAUACAAUUACAGUCUAGAUCUGAAGAAAAUGUUCAGAUCUGAAAACAAAAUACAUAUAUAGUUUAGAUUCGAAAAACAAAGAAGUUUAAAUCUUUCAUCAAGCAUAGAUCUCAAGUAAAUAUGCACACAUAGCAUGUAAUUUAUAUAAAAUACUUCAUAUCUAUGCGUAAUAUUAAAGUAACUAUGCACUCACUUGAUAAGGGGGUGAUUCGGACAACGCUUUGCUUCUAAAAAUAAUUUCUUUCGAUGAAACUGGGAAGUUUGCUUGAAAACCGGGCUCUACGGGGGCAAAGUUUCCAAACUGAAAAACUCUUUUUCUUGGAGCCUUCGGACGCUUCGGGGCUUUCUUCUAGUGCUAGGGAGGUUUCCUAGGCUUCGGGGUGAUUUAGGGUGGCUAGAGAGAGUAGAGAGAGAAAGUAUGGGUGAUAUGUGUGAAAAAUGAGGUUAGAUUCGGUCUCUAUUUAUAGUCGAGAGGCUUCUGUUACGCGGGGCAUUCCUGCGAGGGUACACGGGGAGUACCUUGGAGCGCAAGGCUUUCCCCUUCUACGCAGCGCGUUCGUACGAGACAUGUCGAUAUGCUGAUGGUGCAUCGUGGCCAGUCUUCGGACCAAACAAAGCGAGUCCGCAUAACACUCCUCCUUGUACGUAGGGUGUACUUCAGACGUUGGGCGUUCCUUCUCUACGCGGGGUGUAGGCUCGCACCCAAUCUCGUAAUUUCCUAUCUCGCCUUCAAAAAUUCAUAACUUUCGCAUACGAUCUUUGUUUUCGAUGUUCUUUAUGUCCACGCGUAACCGGGACUAUACUCUACAACUUUUGUUUAGACCUCGUCGGCUAAUUUUGACUCUAUUUUAAAAGUUAUAUUUUUAACAGGUCGGGAGAGGAAAAGUCCAGUAAAAAUUCAUAACUCCUUCAUCCGACAUCUGUUUUCAUUUGUCUUUUUACCGUUGUGCUACUAUUAACAAGAUCUUCGAUUCUUGUUUAGGUUGUGUUUGCUAGAAAUUGUUCGAUUUAAUAUUCGAACUCCGGGCUGCAUACUGUUAAGCCGAAACUUAGAAAAAUCAUAACUUCCUCAUACAGAGUUAGAUUUGGGCGUUCUUUUUAUGCACACUCUCGGUUUAACGAACAUUACGACUUUUGUUUAGAUCGCUAAGGCUAAAAAGCAUUCUAUCGUAAAUUCACUAUUUACGUCACGUAGUGUCGUGCUAGUUCUGUCGCGAAACUUCGACAUGCCAUAACUUCUUCGUUAUAACUCAGAUUUCGGCAUUCUUUAUAUCUCCAGAAUCCUUGUCACGACCACUACAAAUUUCUUCACAGAUAUUGGGUUUGUCUAACAUUUUAUUUUUUACGCUUAUUUUUAUUAUAUCUUUACAAACAAGUAUAUAAUCAUAUAAAAUCACAUAAUUCACAUAAUAUUCAAGUAAUUCAUCUUUAUUUCUUUUAAGUAAGUUACAAUGGUUGACCUUGACUAUUAUAUCAUCGAAUUACUGCUUAGUCUCAAAACACGGGCGUUACAACAUAUGAAUUACAUGUGAUUCACAUAUAAAUCACAUGUAAUUCACAUAUGAAUCACAUGUAAUUCACAAGUGAAUCACAUACGAAAUAUGACUUAUAUGUGAUUCACAUAUCAAUUACAUGUCAUUCACAUAUAAAUCACAUGUAAUUCACAUAUAAAUGACAUGUAAUUCACAAGUGAGUCACAUAUGAAUUACAUGUGAUUCACAUAUAAAUCACAUGUAUUUCAUAUAUGAAUCACAUGUAAUUCACAAGUGAAUCACAUAUGAAAUGUGAAUUACGUGUGAUUCACAUAUAAAUCACAUGUCAUUCACAUAUAAAUCAUAUGUAAUUCACAUAUGAAUCACAUUUAAUUCACAAGUGAAUCAAAUAUGAAUUACAUGUGUUUCACAUAUAAAUCACAUGUGAUUGACAUAUAAAUCACAUCUGAUUCACAUAUAAAUCACAUGUAAUUCACAUAUGAAUCACAUGUAAUUCAUAUGUAAGUCACGAGUGAAUCACAUAUGAAUUAUGUCUAUAUCCACACAUGCAUUUUGUGUGAGGGUUCUUCGUUUUUAUUUUCAUGUGAAUUUCACAUUUGAAUCUUAAAAGAUAAAAUCACAUUAUAUAAUCGCAUGCAAAUCUUACAUGAUAUAUACGUAUGCAUUUUUGUGAGUAUUCUUGCAUUAAUCAUUUUUUUUAUUUUGUUGUAGAUUUGAAAGAAUUUGUGGAAAAUUUUGAAGAUGUAAAAAAUGAUAAAUUGAAAAAAAUAUGGAAAUCUUGAUAUGAAGAAAUGAUAACACUGUGAAUCUUUGUAGCUUUUUUUAUUUUAUUUUGUAUUGAAUAAAAUAUUUGUAUUAUUAUUUUUAUGGAUUCAUUAUUAAAAACAUGAUUUUUUAUGAUUUACGUACGAAUAUUAUAGUAUAAGAAAUAUCCAUAUAUGCACUUAAAACGUUGAUUUUUUUAAUAUUCUAGGUUUUUUUAAAAAAAAUGAAGUUUUUUUUUUUUAUAAAUUGCAGUUUUUUUUACAAAAAUUGCAGUUUUUUUUUUGAAAAACGCAACUUUUUAAAGAAAUUGCAACUUUUUUUUUAAAAAAAUGCAGUUUUCUAUAAAAAAAUUGCAGUUUUUUUUUGGAAAAAAUGCAGUUUUUUAAAAGAAUUGCAGUUUUUUUUUUCAAAAAAAUGUAGUUUUUUUUUUUUUUUUUUUUUUUUAAAUUACUUUCCUUCCAUUUUUUUUUAAAUUCAAGUUUUCUGAAAAAAAAUUUAAAAAUUCUCCAUUUUAAAAAAUCAAAAUAUUUAUAAAAACACAAAUCUGGAAUUUGAUUUAUUAUGUUAAUUUUGUCCAAUAACACAAAAAAAUAACCAUUACAUGGGAUUGGUAAGAUUACGAUCAUGCCCUUAAUGAGAUAAUUUUAAUAUAACGCUCCACCUUUAGUUCUUAGGUUUUCGGGAAACUAUGAGUUGUCAACCGAUCUCACCCCUAUAUGUUAAUUACAUGUGAUCGUGGGCCAAUCAUUUUACUUAAUUUAGGAAAGUGAAUAACACAUAUUAUUAAAUUAAAGAUAAUUAAAAAAAUACAAUCUAUUUUCAUUUUAAGGGUAUUUUAGUCAAUUAACAUAAAUUUAAAAAAUGAAAAUUGCAUAUUUUAAGGGAAAAUAGAUUCUAUUAAUUUUAAAAAUCUGAUUAUAGAGAUGAAAAUUCUCCUAAUUUGGAUAUUCUGACAGAAUAUGUUUAUCAAUAUAUUGAAAAAUAACAAAUAUGAAUGAAACAUACAAGAAUACACAUUCUGACAUAAUAUAUAUUU